Molecule: unclassified non-coding RNA, 243 nt
Filed under: Cladosporium herbarum
Lineage: Eukaryota; Fungi; Ascomycota; Dothideomycetes; Cladosporiales; Cladosporiaceae
Also listed under: 2 other names
Description: sequence contains 5.8S rRNA gene
Rfam family: 5.8S ribosomal RNA (bases 1-53)
Source: RNAcentral
GAACGCACAUUGCGCCCCCUGGUAUUCCGGGGGGCAUGCCUGUUCGAGCGUCAUUUCACCACUCAAGCCUCGCUUGGUAUUGGGCAACGCGGUCCGCCGCGUGCCUCAAAUCGUCCGGCUGGGUCUUCUGUCCCCUAAGCGUUGUGGAAACUAUUCGCUAAAGGGUGUUCGGGAGGCUACGCCGUAAAACAACCCCAUUUCUAAGGUUGACCUCGGAUCAGGUAGGGAUACCCGCUGAACUUA